CCUACGGGGGGCAGCAGUGGGGAAUAUUGCACAAUGGGGGAAACCCUGAUGCAGCGACGCCGCGUGAAGGAAGAAGUAUUUCGGUAUGUAAACCUCUUUUGCCGGGGAGCAAGCCUGAGCACGUGUGCCCAGGCGGAGAGUACCCGGAGAAAAAGCAUCGGCUAACUCCGUGCCAGCAGCCGCGGUAAUACGGAGGAUGCGAGCGUUAUCCGGAUUUAUUGGGUUUAAAGGGUGCGCAGGCGGGCUGUUAAGCCGGCGGUAAAAAUUCAGGGCUCAACCCCGUCGA
This 286-nucleotide ribosomal RNA is filed under the name uncultured bacterium. RNAcentral's name for it is "partial 16S ribosomal RNA". It matches the Rfam family "Bacterial small subunit ribosomal RNA", at positions 338 to 621 of the family's 1533-position model. The record is from RNAcentral.